Molecule: long non-coding RNA, 551 nt
Organism: Tympanuchus pallidicinctus (lesser prairie-chicken)
Lineage: Eukaryota; Metazoa; Chordata; Aves; Galliformes; Phasianidae
Exons: 3
Source: RefSeq, a predicted model, not a curated record
UUUUGUGGAAGAUGGUGAAAAUCACCGUUAUCUUUAUACUUUUGGCUGUGCCAUCAAAUGCCUGUUUUGAAUGUAAAUACCACUGCAAAUGAAGGCUCUGAAACUGAAGGUGUAUUUAUGUUUGGCCAAUAGGUCCAAAAUUAUGUUGGUGAGAUCAGACAGAAAGAUGGAGAGGCAGCCAGCCUCCUGUGGCCCAUGAGGUUAAGGAUGGAGCUGGAAACAGAAAGGAACGGGAAAUGGAGGCAGUUGGGAGUUCCAGCAAUAGAAAGCCUCCAGCCGAGCAGCAGGAAGGAAAGGAAGAGCUGGGGCUCAGUCACUCAGACCCACGUGCCGAGGUUGUUUCUCUCAAAACCUCACUGCCUGUUAUGCCACUGCUGAGAUCAUGUAAGUCCACGUACCUUUGCCCACCUCAGAAUUCAUUUUUCUACCAAGAGCAAACCUCGGGAAAAAUAUCUUGCGUUGUUUUUGUUGAUCUUUUAAAUCAUUUAGUUGCCAGAAAAGCUCACCUGCACCAAACUAAUUGCAUAAUAUCACAUCCAUAGCAGAGAAAG